This is a transfer RNA of Tritrichomonas foetus, 72 nucleotides long. It matches the Rfam family "tRNA". Rfam says of the family: Transfer RNA (tRNA) molecules are approximately 80 nucleotides in length. Their secondary structure includes four short double-helical elements and three loops (D, anti-codon, and T loops). Further hydrogen bonds mediate the characteristic L-shaped molecular structure. tRNAs have two regions of fundamental functional importance: the anti-codon, which is responsible for specific mRNA codon recognition, and the 3' end, to which the tRNAs corresponding amino acid is attached (by aminoacyl-tRNA synthetases). tRNAs cope with the degeneracy of the genetic code in two manners: having more than one tRNA (with a specific anti-codon) for a particular amino acid; and 'wobble' base-pairing, i.e. permitting non-standard base-pairing at the 3rd anti-codon position. Lineage: Eukaryota; Parabasalia; Tritrichomonadida; Tritrichomonadidae. The record is from Rfam.
GGGUGAUUGGUCUAGUGGCAUGAUUCUCGCUUUGGGUGCGAGAGGUCUCGGGUUCGAUUCCCGAAUCGCCCC